CCUACGGGAGGCAGCAGCCGAGAAAAUUCACAAUGGGGGCAACCCUGAUGGUGCAACGCCGCGUGGAGGAUGACGGUCUUCGGAUUGUAAACUCCUGUCAUCUGGGAGUAAGACCUGGCUGUUAAUAGCAGACAGGGUUGAUAGUACCAGAAGAGGAAGGGACGGCUAACUUCGUGCCAGCAGCCGCGGUAAUACGGAGGUCCCGAGCGUUGGUCGGAAUCACUGGGCGUAAAGGGAGCGUAGGCGGCGCGGUAAGUCAGAUGUGAAAUCCCGGGGCUCAACCCCGGAACUGCAUCCGAUACUGCCGUGCUAGAGGAUUGGAGAGGUAGCUGGAAUUCUUGGUGUAGCAGUGAAAUGCGUAGAUAUCAAGAGGAACACUCGUGGCGAAAGCGAGCUACUGGACAACUCCUGACGCUGAGGCUCGAAGGCUAGGGUAGCGAAAGGGGAUUAGAUACCCCUGUAGUCCUAGCAGUAAACGGUGCACGCUUGGUGUGAGGGGAAUCGACCCCCCUUGUGCCGGAGCUAACGCGUUAAGCGUGCCGCCUGGGAAGUACGGUCGCAAGACUAAAACUCAAAGAAAUUGACGGGGACCCGCACAAGCGGUGGAGUAUGUGGCUUAAUUCGAUGCAACGCGAAGAACCUUACCAAGGCUUGACAUGGAUUUCUAAGCACGUGAAAGCGUGUGACCCUUCGAGGAACUUCCACAGGUGCUGCAUGGCCGUCGUCAGCUCGUGUCGUGAGAUGUUGGGUUAAGUCCCGCAACGAGCGCAACCCUUGUGAUUAGUUGCCAGCACGUUAUGGUGGGAACUCUAAUCAGACUGCCCAGAUCAACUGGGAGGAAGGUGGGGACGACGUCAGGUCAGUAUGGCCCUUACGCCUUGGGCUGCACACGUAAUACAAUGGCAACGACAGAGGGCAGCUACCUCGCGAGAGCAAGCGAAUCCCUAAACGUUGUCUCAGUUCGGAUUGCAGGCUGCAACUCGCCUGCAUGAAGUCGGAAUUGCUAGUAAUGGC
Molecule: ribosomal RNA, 1014 nt
Filed under: uncultured Verrucomicrobiota bacterium
Lineage: Bacteria; Pseudomonadati; Verrucomicrobiota
Description: bacterial SSU rRNA
Rfam family: Bacterial small subunit ribosomal RNA
Source: RNAcentral